Molecule: ribosomal RNA, 492 nt
Filed under: uncultured bacterium
Lineage: Bacteria
Description: partial 16S ribosomal RNA
Rfam family: Bacterial small subunit ribosomal RNA
Source: RNAcentral
AGUGAACGCUGGCGGUAGGCCUAACACAUGCAAGUCGAACGGCAGCACAGUAAGAGCUUGCUCUUACGGGUGGCGAGUGGCGGACGGGUGAGGAAUACAUCGGAAUCUACUUUUUCGUGGGGGAUAACGUAGGGAAACUUACGCUAAUACCGCAUACGACCUACGGGUGAAAGCAGGGGAUCUUCGGACCUUGCGCGAUUGAAUGAGCCGAUGUCGGAUUAGCUAGUUGGCGGGGUAAAGGCCCACCAAGGCGACGAUCCGUAGCUGGUCUGGGAGGAUGAUUAGCCACACUGGAACUGAGACACGGUCCAGACUCCUACGGGAGGCAGCAGUGGGGAAUAUUGGACAAUGGGCGCAAGCCUGAUCCAGCCAUACCGCGUGGGUGAAGAAGGCCUUCGGGUUGUAAAGCCCUUUUGUUGGGAAAGAAAAGCAGCAGGUUAAUACCCCGCUGUUCUGACGGUACCCAAAGAAUAAGCACCGGCUAACUUCGUG